AUACGGAGGAUGCGAGCGUUAUCCGGAUUUAUUGGGUUUAAAGGGUGCGUAAGCUGUGCGUUAAGUCAGGGGUGAAAUGCCGUCGCUCAACGACGGAGCUGCCCUUGAUACUGGCGUGCUGGAGUACGGAUGCCGUUGGAGGAAUGAGUGGUGUAGCGGUGAAAUGCUUAGAUAUCACUCAGAACACCGAUUGCGAAGGCAGCUGACGAAUCCGUCACUGACGCGGAGGCACGAAAGCGUGGGGAUAGAACAGGAUUAGAUACCCUGGUAUUCCACGCCGUAAACGAUGAUGACUAACCGUCGGCGAUAGACAGCCGGUGGCCAAGCGAAAGCGAUAAGUCAUCCACCUGGGGAGUACGUCGGCAACGAUGAAACUUAAAGGAAUUGACGGGG
This 393-nucleotide ribosomal RNA is filed under the name uncultured bacterium. Its description in RNAcentral is "partial 16S ribosomal RNA". It matches the Rfam family "Bacterial small subunit ribosomal RNA", at positions 523 to 918 of the family's 1533-position model. The record is from RNAcentral.